GUUUCCCAGCUCUUCUGGCAAGGAUGUGAGGAAAUUCCCAUCAAGACAUAAGGUCUGGAGACUGUGGCAGGCAAAGGGAAAAAGAGAAACAUUCAUGGAUGGAGAAUUGAGUCACCUAUUUAACAUUACAGAGGAGACACGACGGAAGUUUGCUGAUGCACACUGGGAUAUGCCAGGAAUUCUCCAUACUGAUCUCUAGGAAACUUUUGUGGAGAUACUCUGCAAUCCUCUACCAAAGGUUCCUUGGGAGGGCUGCCUUAUUUCUUCCCCCACACUUCUUCAGAUGUGGCCUUGAGGGUCUAUUCCUGCCCACCAGCUGAGCAGCACUGUCUGAUAAGGAGACGAACCAGGAUGAGAAAGGAAGAAAUGUUCAGGGAGGUGCUGCAAUUGUCUGAUGCUGCUGAUAGCGAGCAGAGAGCACUGACAGAGGCUAUAAAUGAAAAACUGAGAAUGGAUAGCCAGGAGAGGAAACAGGGGCAGGAGUGGAUGAUACAACUGCUUGAGGGCCAGCUGGACUUGCUGAGGUCCCUGAUUGUGCUGCAGGCGGAACACAUCCAUGCUUGUCUCCCCCUGCAACCCAAACAGAAACACCUUCUAUGCCUUCCCCAAACUCUCCCCCACACCCAUGCUUCGCGUGUUUCUGGUCCGUCGCAGUACCCCAUGCACUCCACCCAGUGAUAGGUGGACAUACACCCAGCUGUGAAAUCCUCAUUGUAAAA
Long non-coding RNA from Mauremys reevesii (Reeves's turtle), 719 nucleotides. RefSeq lists it as uncharacterized. The record is from RefSeq and is a predicted model, not a curated record. The transcript has 3 exons. Lineage: Eukaryota; Metazoa; Chordata; Testudines; Geoemydidae.